UGAAUACAUUCCUCAUGUUUAAAACCUUUUCAAAUUAUCUUAUUAUUUUAAUUUCCACCUUUUAGGUUGGUUGGUAAUCUUUAAUAUUUAUAAUUCAUCCUUAUUUCCCCAGAGUCAAUGUGGCCCAUUAUCAAUCAAAGUCUGUGCUGGAGGGCGAUUAGUUUACAGGGUUAGGAGGAAAGGAAAGUGAAGAGGAAGAUUCUAGGGCCCGAUUCUCAACCUUCCUCUCCUUCCUCCAGAACUGACUUCUCUUGGACUCCUUCUGUUUCACAUGUUUUUCUCUUUUAGGGCCUCAUUCUCUUCCUAAGGACCUGGACUAUGCCUUCUUCAAUAACAGUCAUCUUAACUACAUCCUGCUUCCCAAGUCGUCCUCCCUGGGGAUGUCUGGGACACUCCGGCCUCACAGAAUGCUGGCAUGCUCAUUUGGCUCCAAUACUGAAAUCACUACGGGAAAGCAUGACCACUGGUGCUAACAGAUUAGUUCAAUCUCAGCUUCAAGAUUUAUCAUGGCAUUGACCUUUGGUCCACAUCUAUACAGCCUCUGGCUCAUUUCCGCACCAGCCAGUCGCUCUACCACCAACCACUCUUCCACAUUGGACACUUUGAUCUGUGACCAUCCAGUCUCACCUGUGGGAACAUUCCCAGCCCUACCAGAUAAGAUAUGUGAAUUGAUUCUUGCAUGAUACGAGAGACAUGGACAGAGUCUUGCCAAAUUGCCUAGGAUGACUUCAAACUCACAAUUCUCGUGCCUCAACCUCCUAAGUAGCUGGAAUUGCAGGCAUGUGCCAAAAUACCCAAUUUCUCCUGAAUGUUUGAAUUCAAGUGUUUAUGGCAUGUUUUCUCUUUUCUUACAGCAAAGACUUUCUUUUGUUUGGGAAAAUUUAUCAUGAGACCACACUCCUUUCAGGAGUAUUGAACUUUUAAAAGAGCUCAACAAAAAGGUCUAUGUUUAAAUAA
Molecule: long non-coding RNA, 957 nt
Filed under: Heterocephalus glaber (naked mole-rat)
Lineage: Eukaryota; Metazoa; Chordata; Mammalia; Rodentia; Bathyergidae
Description: lncRNA (ENSHGLG00100039796.1)
Source: RNAcentral